UACGUAGGGGGCGAGCGUUGUCCGGAAUCAUUGGGCGUAAAGCGCGUGUAGGCGGCCCGUUAAGUCGGAUGUGAAAGCCCGGGGCUCAACUCCGGAAAUGCAUCCGAUACUGGCGGGCUUGAGGCAGGUAGAGGAGAGUGGAAUUCCCGGUGUAGCGGUGGAAUGCGCAGAUAUCGGGAGGAACACCAGUUGCGAAGGCGGCUCUCUGGGCCUGUCCUGACGCUGAGACGCGAAAGCAUGGGGAGCGAACAGG
Molecule: unclassified non-coding RNA, 253 nt
Filed under: uncultured Nitriliruptoraceae bacterium
Lineage: Bacteria; Bacillati; Actinomycetota; Nitriliruptoria; Nitriliruptorales; Nitriliruptoraceae
Description: contains 16S-23S intergenic spacer region
Rfam family: Bacterial small subunit ribosomal RNA
Source: RNAcentral